GACAGAGGUCCCGAGCGUUAGGCGGAAUCACUGGGCUUAAAGCGUGUGUAGGCGGAUUUGUAAGUACCUUGUGAAAUCCCAUGGCUCAACCGUGGAACUGCUUGGUAUACUGCUUAUCUUGGGCCAUCUAGGGGCGAGCGGAACAAACGGUGGAGCGGUGAAAUGCGUAGAUAUCGUUUGGAACGCCAAUGGUGAAAACAGCUCGCUGGGGAUGUGCCGACGCUGAGACACGAAAGCCAGGGGAGCGAACGGG
RNAcentral lists this ribosomal RNA (253 nucleotides) under uncultured bacterium. RNAcentral describes it as "partial 16S ribosomal RNA". It matches the Rfam family "Bacterial small subunit ribosomal RNA", at positions 524 to 776 of the family's 1533-position model. The record is from RNAcentral.